RNAcentral lists this small RNA (2835 nucleotides) under Pongo abelii (Sumatran orangutan). RNAcentral's name for it is "retained intron". The record is from RNAcentral. Lineage: Eukaryota; Metazoa; Chordata; Mammalia; Primates; Hominidae.
GUGGACAUCCCCGCAGCCUGCCCACCCCCCCUCAACCACACCGUCGUACAAGUGAACAAAAACGCCAACCCAGACCCACUGCCAAAAAAAGAGGAAGAGAAGAAGGAGGAGGAGGAAGACGACCGUGGGGAAGACGGCCCUAAGCCAAUGCCUCCCUAUAGCUCCAUGUUCAUCCUGUCCACGACCAACCCCCUUCGCCGCCUGUGCCAUUACAUCCUGAACCUGCGCUACUUUGAGAUGUGCAUCCUCAUGGUCAUUGCCAUGAGCAGCAUCGCCCUGGCCGCCGAGGACCCUGUGCAGCCCAACGCACCUCGGAACAACGUGCUGCGAUAUUUUGACUACGUUUUUACAGGCGUCUUUACCUUUGAGAUGGUGAUCAAGAUGAUUGACCUGGGGCUCGUCCUGCAUCAGGGUGCCUACUUCCGUGACCUCUGGAAUAUUCUUGACUUCAUAGUGGUCAGUGGGGCCCUGGUAGCCUUUGCCUUCACGUAAGUCUCCUCGCGAGGCCUCCUCUUGCCUCUUUUCCCCCAACCCCCAGCCUGGGGCCACACAUCGGAUUACAGGACAUGUUCUCAGGGUCUAGGGAUGGGGUGUGUGGGCUCUGGGGACGUGGGAGAUAUCAGCAUGCCACCAGGAAGAGCUUCGAUUGGCUUUUUGCAUGAUGUCCAUGGAGGAAGAAGGAGAAGGGACCCCCCUCCUGCCAACCUUCUACCUCCUCACACAGCAACGGGCCUCAGCCACAUCACUGGCCCCUUGCUGUGCAGCUUCCCGUAGACUAGCCUCGCCGGAACAUCUCAUCCCCCUACUGCUCCACAAGCGCCGCCCAAACCGCUGUCUCUUUGGAAAGCCCCUAAAGAGACAAUCAGGAAAUGAAUGUGCAUGAGAAUUCUGACCCCCUCCCUAUGCCUGAAGGCCCCGUAGUUGUAGACCUGGUGACUCCCUUUGUGUGUCUUUCACUUCUCCUGGCAGUCCUAGGAUUCUCUGCCCUCUGAAAGGCCAUAUGUCAUCAUGCAGCUCCAAGAUGGCGCCCCAGUUGUAGGCAGCCAUUUCAGGAUGGCACCCAAGCACUUAGUAGUCAUCCCAAGAUGGCAUCCAAGUUCUGGGUGGCCAUUCCAAGAUGACCCCUGAGUUCUGAGCUAUCAUUCCAAGAUGGCCUCUGAAUUUGGUGUGGUCAUUCUUAGAUGGUCCCUGAGUUCCAAGGUGACCUUCAAGUUCUGGGUAGCCAUUCCAGGAUGGCCCCCAAGCUCUGGGUGGCUAUUCCAAGAUGGCCCCAAGUUCUAGGCAGCCAUUGCAAGAUGGCCCCUGAGUUCCGGGGUGGCCCCCAAGUUCUCGGCAACCAUUCCAAGGUGGCAUCCAAGUUCUGGGUGGCUAUUCCAAGAUGGCCUCUGAGUUCUGGGCUACCGUGCUAAGAUGGACCCUGGAUUCUUGGUGGCCAUUCUUACAUGGUCCCUGAGUUCCAAGGUGGCCUUCAAAUUCUGGGUAGCCAUUCCAAGAUGGUCCCCAAGUCUUGGAUGGCUAUUCCAAGAUGACCCCCAAGUUCUGGGCAGCCAUCUCAAGGUGGCACCCUAGUUCUGGGUAACCAUUCCAAAAUGGCACCCAAGUUCUAGGGCAACCAUUUCAAAAUGGCCCCCAAGUUCUGGGUGACUAUUUCAAGAUGGUACCCAACAGGUGAGUGGCCAUUAGCCCUUAGGGCCCUGAUAGCAGACUUAGCAGUACAUUCCUGAAGUUGUAGACAUUUAGAGCAGGAUGAAAAAUAUCUAAUCAGUCUUUAAUCAAGAAACAAAUCUUAGGGACCCUGGCUGUGCCCAUCAUGGUGAAUCAUUCCCUUACAGGUUUUGAAAGGAUCUUGACAAAUUCACUCCCAUAGUGAGAAAAUCAGGGGCUUCCUCCUGUGCCUCUGCCUCUAGGCUCCCUCCUCAGCCAAUCUGGAGGGGCCCUUGAAUGGUUUCCUCACCAAACAAUGAGGACUUGGUUGUCAGGAGGGCCAAAAUAGUGGCCCAUUUCCAGUUGAAGGGCUAUAAAGUAAGCCACACUUAGAUUCUUCUCUGGGAACACAAUGAGAUCAAGUCGUGUUAGAACAAAAAAUCUCCAGAGUUUCUGGAUGCCUCAGAGCUGGAGAUGUGUCAUGAAGGCUGGGAGGCCGAUUAUACUUCUUUCUCUUUCUCUUUCACUCCUUCCUCCUCUUUCUCUCCUCUCUUUUUGUUCGUUUACUCUUUUCUUUUUCUCUCUCCUCCUCUCCCUCCCCACGUCCUUCCCUCUCCUCAAAGCUUUUCAGUGUCUAUUUGACUACUAGAGCAAUGCACGGUGGCUUACACCUGCAAUCCCAGCACUUUGGGAGGCUGAGAUAGGCAGAUUGCUUGAGCCAAGGAGGCCAAGACCAGCCUGGGUAACAUAGGGAGACCCCAUCUCUGAAAAAAAAACGAUUAGCCACGCAUGGUAGUAUGCCUGCAGUAGCAGCUACACGGUAGGCUGAGAUGGGAGAAUUGCUUGAGCCCAGGAGGUUCAAGGCUGCAGUGAGCCGAAAUCACACCACUGCACCCCAGUCUGGGGAACACAGGAAGAACUUGCCUCAAAAAAAUAAAAAGUUUAAAAAUUUAAAAAUCAAUGAAUUUGCUAUUUAGAAUAUUAUGCUUUAUGUGGUUACUGAAUAAUUUUAAUAGUGCUGAGUACCAGAAAAAACAGGUUUAGCAAGCUGUUCUGUAGGUUAAAAAGUAAAUAAAUAAAUAAAUAAAUAAAAUACGAUGCACAUCAAAUUAAGGGACAAAGAUUGUGACAGAUAAGACAAGGAGUCCAUGUCUUUAAACUAUGAAAAGCAGUUGCAAAUCAAUAAGAAAC